GAUGAAGAACGCAGGCGAAAUGCGAUACGUAAUGUGAAUUGCAGAUUUCAGUGAAUCAUCGAAUCUUUGAACGCACAUUGCGCCCGCCAGUAUUCUGGCGGGCAUGCCUGUUCGAGCGUCAUUUCAACCAUCAAGCCUUCGCUUGUGUUGGGGCCCCGCGGCUGCCGCGGUCCCCUAAAUCCAGUGGCGGGCUCGUCGUCGUACCGAGCGCAGUAGACAUCCUCGCUCCGGGAACCCGACGGGUGCCGGCCGUGAAACCCCCCACAUCAAGGUUGACCUCGGAUCAGGUAGGAAUACCCGCUGAACUUAAGCAUAUCAAUAAGCGGAGGA
This 330-nucleotide unclassified non-coding RNA is filed under the name soil metagenome. Its description in RNAcentral is "partial contains 5.8S ribosomal RNA, internal transcribed spacer 2, and large subunit ribosomal RNA". The stretch from base 1 to 121 matches the Rfam family "5.8S ribosomal RNA", at positions 35 to 154 of the family's 154-position model. The record is from RNAcentral.